UUGAAGCCCCUCUGUCCCCAGGACCUAGGGAGGAGGCCCAGGUCCCAGGGGCAGCAGCCAAACUCCCCAGGCCAAAACCCCAGAUUCUAACUCUUCUUAGAUGGCCCUAAUGGCUUCCCUGGAUGCAGAGAAGGCCCAAGGACAAAAGAAAGUGGAGGAGCUUGAGGAAGAGAUCACUACAUUAAACCAUAAGCUUCAGGACGCCUCUGCAGAGGUGGAGCGACUGAGAAGAGAAAACCAGGUCUUAAGCGUGAGAAUCGCGGACAAGAAGUACUACUCCAGCUCCCAGGACUCCAGCUCCGCUGCAGCGCCCCAGCUCCUGAUUGUGCUGCUGGGCCUCAGCGCUCUGCUGCAGUGAGAUCCCAGGAAGCUGGCACAUCUUGGAAGGUCCGUCCUGCUCGGCUUUUCGCUUGAACAUUCCCUUGAUCUCAUCAGUUCUGAGCGGGUCAUGGGGCAACA
RNAcentral lists this small RNA (459 nucleotides) under Pan troglodytes (chimpanzee). RNAcentral's name for it is "retained intron". The record is from RNAcentral. Lineage: Eukaryota; Metazoa; Chordata; Mammalia; Primates; Hominidae.